CGUGAACGCUGGCGGUAGGCCUAACACAUGCAAGUCGAACGGCAGCACAGUAAGAGCUUGCUCUUACGGGUGGCGAGUGGCGGACGGGUGAGGAAUACAUCGGAAUCUACUUUUUCGUGGGGGAUAACGUAGGGAAACUUACGCUAAUACCGCAUACGACCUACGGGUGAAAGCAGGGGAUCUUCGGACCUUGCGCGAUUGAAUGAGCCGAUGUCGGAUUAGCUAGUUGGCGGGGUAAAGGCCCACCAAGGCGACGAUCCGUAGCUGGUCUGAGAGGAUGAUCAGGCACUCUGGAACGAAAACCGGUUGCAGGCCCUCACGUGGGGCAGCAGUUGGGUAAUUUGGAAAAAGGGCGAAAGCGUGAUCCAGCCAAUCCGCGUGGUUGAAAAAGCCCUGUGGUUUUUAAAGCCCUUUUUUUGGAAAAGAAAGGCAAGUGGUUAAACCCCCUUUUUUUGGGCGUUCCCCAAAGAAUAAGCACCGGGUACUUUCGC
RNAcentral lists this ribosomal RNA (491 nucleotides) under uncultured bacterium. RNAcentral's name for it is "partial 16S ribosomal RNA". It matches the Rfam family "Bacterial small subunit ribosomal RNA", at positions 29 to 506 of the family's 1533-position model. The record is from RNAcentral.